This 211-nucleotide unclassified non-coding RNA is filed under the name Hevea brasiliensis (rubber tree). Lineage: Eukaryota; Viridiplantae; Streptophyta; Magnoliopsida; Malpighiales; Euphorbiaceae. The record is from RNAcentral.
AGAAAGUCAAGAUAGAUGUAUAAGAACAUUUAGUUAUGAGUUAUUUUACUAAAAGCUUUUCUUUAAUGUUUUAUUGAAUAAAUAUGGUCAUUAAAGAUAUGAUAAGCAUGGCAGGUUGUACGUUUGCGAGAAACAAGAUGCACAUUUUGACGUUGGCAAUAUCUAGUAAGCUAAAUAGGUUAAGAAAUAAAACUACUAUAGAAACUAUUAG